Molecule: non-coding RNA, 2102 nt
Organism: Carica papaya (papaya)
Lineage: Eukaryota; Viridiplantae; Streptophyta; Magnoliopsida; Brassicales; Caricaceae
Source: RefSeq, a predicted model, not a curated record
UGAUUUAAUUUGGAUCCAAUCAAGUUAGAUUUGACCUAGUAUUCCAUACUAUUAGAAUAAAUUAAGUUUUGUACUAUUUGCAAUUGAUUCACAUGAUUCUUCUCCAAUUAAUGAUAAACUCCAAUUCAUCUAUACAAUUUAAAUUGGCAUAUCAGUCCACUGAUUAAGUAAUCUGUUAUAUGGUAUGCUAUUGUCCCCUAGAUCUGAUAACAGGACCUUGUAAUGCAAAAUUAGAUUGGGAAAAACCAGAAUGUUUCUUCAUCUCCAUUUUUGCCGUACCUUGACUAAAGAAACGAACCAAUUGGGCACUAGAGUGGAGGAGAAGCCUCUGGACUUUGUUAAAUAGUUUUAUCUUCUGAUCAUGGAGGUAGUUUUAGGUUCCUUUUUUCAAUUGAGGCAAAGUUGUUUAUGGUCUCAAUUGAAGAUGGAGGUAAUUCUGUUGUAGAUAUCGAGUGCUAUCAGGGAUCUGGCUCUUGUGGACAUUGAUAUUUACGCAUAUCUGCUGUAGGUAAAGGUUUCAAAAUUACAUUCUUCUUACCAAGAAUAAAAUGAUAAGUAUUGGUACUCUCAUAAUGCUAAACAUGUCUAUCAUAAAGUCAAGGUCGGCCUAAGAAUACGUGUCAACAUGUUGUUCUGGUGGUGUUACUUAAAUUGGGAGAGUAUAAUUCUCAGGGAACCAGUUUGAUCCAAUAGAAACAAAGUUUGAAAGUGCUAAACAGGCCAUUUAAACAGGCCAUCUUAUGAUUUGAAUUGUCCAGUCAACGUAUUAAGUGGUGCACUAAUGUGGUUAAUGAUAUCAGUAAACAUGGUGUGUUGAUGUAAGUUAUGAUAUCAGCACAGAGAUAACAGAGAUAAUGUCGUGUUUACCAAUGUGAAGAUAAUGUCGUGUUUACCAAUGUGAGGCUAAUGUGUCUUGUUGACAUAAACAAUGAUAUGCGAAUACUUUUUGGGUCAUGGGUUGAGAUUGAGUUGCCAAACCAGUCUUUUGACUCAUCGUGUUAGCAAUAGUGAUAUGGCCAAAACUAUGAUUGGGAAAAGAAAUUAUUUUGUAUGAUGGCUACAUGUUAAUAUUGUAUCAUAUUUUUGUUGAUAACUUGAUAAAAAUUUUACUAUGAAUUUUAUUGGUGAACUUCAAUUUUUGCAAGUUAUUAAUAGAAAGAUAAUACCAUGUAGUGUCUGCUUGUUACAUAAAAUGAUUUCUUGAUAAGGAAACACCACAACUGAUGGGUUUUUCAGUAAAUGGAAGGAAUAACAGCUGCUAUGAUGUGAAACAUAGGGUCAGUGUGUUCAUUAGGAAAAGCUUUUUUAUAUGAGAAAUUGUAGGAGACCUGUCAGCAGCAAGAGGUGGUGGUGACAGUGAUCACCCAGGAAGCAAGUCUUAUAUCAACUUGAAAUAAGAAUAACAUGGAGAAUUAUAUUUACGGAUUACAUAUUCAUAGAGUUGUUUGUACAUCCCUAUAUAUUGAAGAAUAUAUUUGAAAUAGGUAUAAUCAGCCUAUGAUCGUGAAAUCACAAAAUCAUCUUGUGACUGCUACAGUUACUCUAUGAUUGCUUUAAUCAUGCAUGCAAUAUGUUAACAAUACUGAAUGCCUAUGUUAAUUCCAUAUUCUUCCAUAUCAUGCAAUUUGUUAACGUACUAAAUGCUUAUAUUAAUUUCCUGUUCUUUCCUAUCAGGCUGAAGCUAGACAUAGUGAGAUACUGGGUCAACUUCUUUAUGCCACCAAAAUAGUGGCUGAGAAAGAAGGUAUCACUGAAGGAUUUCGUAUUGUCAUUAACAAUGGUCCUGAUGCCUGUCAAUCUGUUUACCACCUCCAUUUGCAUGUUCUCGGCAGACGGCAGAUGAAAUGGCCACCUGGUUAAGGUUCUGGAACAAAAAUUUCCCUCUAUGCACCUUUUUUCUUUCUUUCAGUUCAGUUCAGUUCAGUUCAACAUCUAUUUUACCCAAAUUAGAAGCAAACGUUGUUAAAUUUUUUGUAAUUGCCAUUUUCAGUAUAGAGCUGUAUAAUUGGCGAUAAAAUUAAUGGAUGUUUUUGUUGUUAGAAAGACAAGAAAUUCUGAUAUUUAUACUUGAAUCGCUGCUUAUCGCAAUAAAUCCGCCAAAA